This 436-nucleotide ribosomal RNA is filed under the name uncultured Fulvimarina sp. RNAcentral's name for it is "bacterial SSU rRNA". It matches the Rfam family "Bacterial small subunit ribosomal RNA", at positions 8 to 488 of the family's 1533-position model. Lineage: Bacteria; Pseudomonadati; Pseudomonadota; Alphaproteobacteria; Hyphomicrobiales; Aurantimonadaceae. The record is from RNAcentral.
AGAGUUUGAUCAUGGCUCAGAACGAACGCUGGCGGCAGGCUUAACACAUGCAAGUCGAACGGUUGUAGCAAUACAGCAGUGGCAGACGGGUGAGUAACACGUGGGAACCUUCCUAGGGGUACGGAACAACUCAGGGAAACUUGAGCUAAUACCGUAUACGUCCGUGAGGAGAAAGAUUUAUCGCCCCUAGACGGGCCCGCGUAGGAUUAGGUAGUUGGUGAGGUAACGGCUCACCAAGCCUACGAUCCUUAGCUGAUCUGAGAGGAUGAUCAGCCACACUGGGACUGAGACACGGCCCAGACUCCUACGGGAGGCAGCAGUGGGGAAUCUUGGACAAUGGGCGCAAGCCUGAUCCAGCCAUGCCGCGUGAGUGAAGAAGGCCUUCGGGUUGUAAAGCUCUUUUACCAGGGACGAUAAUGACGGUACCUGAGAAUAG